CAGCCGUAAACUAUGCGCGUUAGGUGUAUCGGUGACCACGAGUCACCGAGGUGCCGAAGGGAAACCGUGAAACGUGCCGCCUGGGAAGUACGGUCGCAAGGCUGAAACUUAAAGGAAUUGGCGGGGGAGCACAACAACGGGUGGAGCCUGCGGUUUAAUUGGACUCAACGCCGGACAACUCACCGGGACGACAGCAAUAUGUAGGCCAGGCUGAAGACCUUGCCUGAAUCGCUGAGAGGAGGUCAUGGCGUAGACGUCU
Molecule: ribosomal RNA, 259 nt
Filed under: uncultured archaeon
Lineage: Archaea
Description: partial 16S ribosomal RNA
Rfam family: Archaeal small subunit ribosomal RNA
Source: RNAcentral